GAUGAAGAACGCAGCGAAAUGCGAUAAGUAAUGUGAAUUGCAGAAUUCCGUGAAUCAUCGAAUUUUUGAACGCAUAUUGCGCCCCCUGGUAUUCCGGGGGGCAUGCCUGUCCGAGCGUCAUUGCUGCCCUCAAGCACGGCUUGUGUGUUGGGCCUCCGUCCUCCUCCCGGGGGACGGGCCCGAAAGGCAGCGGCGGCACCGCGUCCGGUCCUCGAGCGUAUGGGGCUUCGUCACCCGCUCUUGUAGGCCCGGCCGGCGCUUGCCGACACAUCAAUCUUUUUUCCAGGUUGACCUCGGAUCAGGUAGGGAUACCCGCUGAACUUAAGCAUAUCAAUAAGCGGAGGA
RNAcentral lists this unclassified non-coding RNA (345 nucleotides) under soil metagenome. Its description in RNAcentral is "partial contains 5.8S ribosomal RNA, internal transcribed spacer 2, and large subunit ribosomal RNA". The stretch from base 1 to 120 matches the Rfam family "5.8S ribosomal RNA", at positions 35 to 154 of the family's 154-position model. The record is from RNAcentral.